RNAcentral lists this long non-coding RNA (942 nucleotides) under Felis catus (domestic cat). RNAcentral describes it as "lncRNA (ENSFCAG00000042183.2)". Lineage: Eukaryota; Metazoa; Chordata; Mammalia; Carnivora; Felidae. The record is from RNAcentral.
CACCGCCAUGUGGGGCCGUGGAGAAGCUGCAGGCCCAUUUUCCAUGAGUCAGAAGGGAAGCUGGGUUGUGUUCCUGAACUUUCUUGUAGAGUUUCCCUCUGGAUGCUGCUAGCACUAACAGCCAGAAUCCUGGUAGCCACAUUUGUGGAUGUGGAAAGACACCCACAGUCUGUUGUGCUGUGACAAAAGCUGGCUGGAGGACUGCACGUUGACGACGAGCCUAUCUGUGCAGAGCUGGGCACGUGUGCAUGUCUGUCUCUGGAAGACAGAAGCUGGCUACCCGGGGCUAAUGCCUUCUCAAAAGCCGAGGGCUGGCCGACAGGGCCUCUGAGGAGGUUGAGGGGCACGUGGCUAAAGGCAUAUCCUCCGCCCUGAAAAAUCCGGAUCAAGGAGACAUGAUGUCACCCCAGCAUGGGCCACUAGACUGGAUGACUGGGCACUCGGCAGGCAUGUGGUCACAAAGCAAACCAUCUCACCCCGUGAAGAAGUGACGAUCCUUUAGUAUUCGAAGGUUUGCAAACGGAAGACAGAAAGAAACCAACGCAGACCAAUGGUUGAGAGAACUGGCUUUCCAAUUGGAUUGGCUGGGUCCCGAUCCUAAUUCUGCCGCCUAUUGGCUGUGCAAUGUGGGAUCCUCCAAAAGCCCCAGUUCUUCCAACUCUGAAAUAGAGGAGAAGAACCUAUUCUGUGGGGUUGCUUAUGAGGAUUAAGUGAAAUAAUGCAUGCAGAGCUCCUAGUACAAAAUAAGACCCGAAUAACAUUUGCCAUCACCCUUGGUGGCAUCCUCAUUGUCAUUGUUUUUAUUAUUGAUGGUUCUGCAUGGCCCCAGAGAACAGAGGCAGGAGCAAUGGGUGGGAACUGCAGGGGGACUGCUAGUGGUUAGACUCCAGAAAGAACAGUCCAUUAGAACUGUAGAGAAAGGGAAUAGGAAGAAGGGAGGGU